UACGCUCACACCACCACGAAAACCCGAUCCCAUCAGACCUCGGCAGUUAAGCGUGGUUGGGCUCGAGCAGUACCAGGUUGAGGGAUCGCCUGGGAACUCCAAGUGGCGUAG
Molecule: non-coding RNA, 111 nt
Organism: Tetradesmus obliquus
Lineage: Eukaryota; Viridiplantae; Chlorophyta; Chlorophyceae; Sphaeropleales; Scenedesmaceae
Source: the annotation of a GenBank genome assembly